Molecule: ribosomal RNA, 429 nt
Filed under: uncultured bacterium
Lineage: Bacteria
Description: bacterial SSU rRNA
Rfam family: Bacterial small subunit ribosomal RNA
Source: RNAcentral
UGAGGAAUCUUGCGCAAUGGGGGAAACCCUGACGCAGCAACGCCGCGUGAGUGAGGAAGGUCCUCGAGUCGUAAAGCUCUGUCAGGCGGGAAGAAAUGCAUGGAGGUGAACAGCCGCCAUGCUUGACGGUACCGCCAGAGGAAGCACCGGCUAACUCCGUGCCAGCAGCCGCGGUAAUACGGGGGGUGCAAGCGUUGUUCGGAAUCAUUGGGCGUAAAGAGCGUGUAGGCGGCUUGGUAAGUCGGAUGUGAAAGCCCUGGGCUCAACCCGGGAAGUGCAUUUGAAACUGCCAGGCUCGAGUAGGGGAGAGGGAAGUGGAAUUCCUGGUGUAGAGGUGAAAUUCGUAGAUAUCAGGAGGAACACCGGUGGCGAAGGCGACUUCCUGGCCCUAUACUGACGCUGAGACGCAAGAGCGUGGGUAGCAAACAG